CCUACGGGAGGCAGCAGUGGGGAAUAUUGGGCAAUGGGCGCAAGCCUGACCCAGCAACGCCGCGUGAAGGAAGAUGGCUUUCGGGUUGUAAACUUCUUUUGUCCGGGAAGAGUAGAAGACGGUACCUGACGAAUAAGCCACGGCUAACUACGUGCCAGCAGCCGCGGUAGUACGUAGGUGGCAAGCGUUGUCCGGAUUUACUGGGUGUAAAGGGCGUGUAGCCGGGUUGACAAGUCAGAUGUGAAAUCCUGCGGCUUAACCGCAGAACUGCAUUUGAAACUGUUGAUCUUGAGUACUGGAGAGGCAGAUGGAAUUCCUAGUGUAGCGGUGAAAUGCGUAGAUAUUAGGAGGAACACCAGUGGCGAAGGCGGUCUGCUGGACAGCAACUGACGGUGAGGCGCGAAAGCGUGGGGAGCAAACAGGAUUAGAUACCCGAGUAGUC
This 442-nucleotide ribosomal RNA is filed under the name uncultured bacterium. RNAcentral's name for it is "partial 16S ribosomal RNA". It matches the Rfam family "Bacterial small subunit ribosomal RNA", at positions 338 to 795 of the family's 1533-position model. The record is from RNAcentral.